This 222-nucleotide long non-coding RNA is filed under the name Setaria viridis. RNAcentral's name for it is "long non-coding RNA (SVIR_LNC009104)". Lineage: Eukaryota; Viridiplantae; Streptophyta; Magnoliopsida; Poales; Poaceae. The record is from RNAcentral.
UGGAGUCCAUUAGGCAAGCGUCCGGGGGUCUUGCAUACCCCUAAACACUUUAUAUUCAGUAGAGUCGCCCAAGUUAGAGUUUGAGUUCCGUGUAGAUUCAAUCUGUCAUUGCAUAGUCACCGUUCAUCAGUUGGUGAUUGUGUGCUAAUUAAUUCAAGAUUUUCUGCAAUUAAGUUGCGUUCUUCCUUACUCUCGAUUGUGUUCUUAAUUUGCAUGCAGGAG